Molecule: non-coding RNA, 73 nt
Organism: Patellaria atrata CBS 101060
Lineage: Eukaryota; Fungi; Ascomycota; Dothideomycetes; Patellariales; Patellariaceae
Source: the annotation of a GenBank genome assembly
GCCCGGCUAGCUCAAUCGGAAGAGCGUGGGACUUUUAAUCCCAAGGUCGAGAGUUCGAGCCUCUCGUCGGGCG